GGGAAGCAUUGAUGCUGCAAGGAUCUAGCAGCUGGAGGAAGAGCUCUUCCUGGCUCCACACAUGCUUUAUCCUGCCAUCUGCUUCUUAAGGUUCAGUUUCCCGGGAAACAAGAGGAUGGACUCACUGGAGUUAUUUCCCAAGCUGUGACAGGAAACAGGGAAAAAUUUACUGACAGUCCUACCACGAUUUCAUGCACUGGGGCAGGGGCCAGACACCAAAGAAAGAUCAAGGAUCUCUUACCAACAGAAGGGAGAAGCAUGGAUGUUGAGCCAUCAAAACUUUCAGACGCCUCCCAUCUCUUCUUUGUACCAGGCAGAUGGUAUUUCUCAGAUGCUUCUGCUAUUGGGCUCAGGUUGAAGGCCUGCCAAUCAGAUGUUGCUGGUGGAAGACUGGAAGGGCCAUUAUUACUUCCAUGGUAACAGGAAGGCACAUGGGCUUCAGCAGAGAGCAGAGAUAAUGGAGAGGUAUCAUGAUUCUGGAGCUCCAGUCUUUCUGCAAAGAAGAAUGAAGUAGGAGUUCAUUAAAAGACCUUUGGAAAACAGGUUACAUAAAAUUAGCAUUAAUAUUAGAGUGGCUAAGGACAUUCACAUAAUGUCAUAAAAUAUUGUCUACUGGAAAAAAGGAGUAUAUCUCUUCAGACAUAUUUAAGAUUCUUAAGCAUGCUUAAUGUGUUUAUAUGCAGAGUUAGUCUUAAUAAUAUGCAAACCAGAAAGACUUAAAUAAGGUACAAUAUUUAUAGACUAAUGUGAGUUUCUAUGUACCCUACAUACUAAAACUUACAGGAGAAAGAGAAUAAAAGUGUUAGUAAGCAUAAUUAAAUAAACAAAUAGGGAAAAGAGAAAUAAGAAUUGUCUCCAACAUUGUGACUACUUCCAAUUCAUUGACAUUUCUUUAGCAUAAAAGCUCAACAAUUUUUAUUACAUUGCUCAAAUUAAUAAUUACAAUUGAUCACUAUUGUGAAUCAGAACACUGUUGAAAAUGUUUGAUCAGAUACACUCUGAUUGUGAUAUAUGAGGUCUUGGGUGAGGAAGAAUAUUAUUAUUCUCCAUCAUUAUAGAAAUUGAGGUACCAAAGGAGAAAAGUGGUCUAUUCAGUAGCCUUAAAUCUUGCUUAUCUCACAUGUCUGAUCAUUAUUGAUAUUGUAAAUGUAUAUAUGUAAUAUUAAUGUUUUUAAUUUUGAGUUUUGCUUUUGGAUUGUUACUCUCUUAAAAAUAGGAAACCUAAGUAUGUAUAAAUUUGGUAUGUUAAACUGGUGAAAUCUAUUAAAAUGCAUUUUCACUAUAUUUUACACAAGAUAUUAGAAACUUGUAUUUGUUGAUGACUUACCAAUUACAAUAGUCAGAAAAUGAAUGAAUGAAAUUACUUCUUAUGAAGCAUCUGUUUUCAUAGCAUUGUGCUUUUUGAGUUUGGCUUUGUUAUCAUCACUGAUAAAAUGUAAAUUUGGAAAUAUAUAUUAUCUAGGAAAUUUUGUAUAUACAAAAUAUAUUCCAGGGUAUUUUAAAAGUAACAUAAAAAUCAGUACUUGAAACUAUAUGAGUGGGAAAAUACGGGGAAAACUCAAGAAAUAGCACUAAUCCUAAAUACUUUAUAGAAGCCCUAGGACAUUAUAAAAAAUGUCAGUAAGCCUAAUAGAUCCAGGAGGGGGCACUGUUGUACUAUUCAUUGAGUUGUGUUGUCUUAGUUCUCUUUUUUUCCCUUCCUUUCUGUAUACACACACAUACACACACACACUUAGAUCAACCCAUAUUUACAAGAACAAACGCAAAAAACUGCAUGAAUUUAUACAACGAGUACUUGUUUACAUGGCAACAUUAUAAUACAAUUUUUAUAUUCAUCAGUUUAAUACUUUAUCAGGCAUGUGGAGUUAAUGAUUUAUUUCAGUAAUUAUU
This is a non-coding RNA of Ictidomys tridecemlineatus (thirteen-lined ground squirrel), 1890 nucleotides long. Lineage: Eukaryota; Metazoa; Chordata; Mammalia; Rodentia; Sciuridae. The record is from RefSeq and is a predicted model, not a curated record.